GAUGAACGCUGGCGGCGUGCCUAAUACAUGCAAGUCGAGCGAACGGACGAGAAGCUUGCUUUUCUGAUGUUAGCGGCGGACGGGUGAGUAACACGUGGAUAACCUACCUAUAAGACUGGGAUAACUUCGGGAAACCGGAGCUAAUACCGGAUAAUAUUUUGAACCGCAUGGUUCAAAAGUGAAAGACGGUCUUGCUGUCACUUAUAGAUGGAUCCGCGCUGCAUUAGCUAGUUGGUAAGGUAACGGCUUACCAAGGCAACGAUGCAUAGCCGACCUGAGAGGGUGGCCGCCCCCAGGGGCACAGCCACCGCGUCCAGCCUCCCGCGGGAGGCGCGAGGGGGUAUUCUCCCAGAUGGGGGGAAGCCCGGACGGCCCCACCCCGCGGGAGUGAUAAAGUUUUUCGUUCCUUAAACCUUUUUUUUGGGGGAAAAACAUAUGUGAAAGUAUCUGUCCACUCCUUGACGUUCCCUAAUCAGAAGCCCCCGCCUACCUCCGCC
RNAcentral lists this ribosomal RNA (497 nucleotides) under uncultured bacterium. RNAcentral's name for it is "partial 16S ribosomal RNA". It matches the Rfam family "Bacterial small subunit ribosomal RNA", at positions 28 to 509 of the family's 1533-position model. The record is from RNAcentral.